AUAUAUAUCCCUAAUAGCACACGACGUCCUUUGGACGUCCAAAAUAGGUCCAUUUUUGGUCCUUACGUCCAUGGACUAUAAACGGACGUCCUUUGGACGUCCCAUGUUGGACGUCCUUCGGAAGGAAUAAAUAUGGACGUCCUUUGGACGUCCGACGUUGGACGUCCUUCGGACGGAAUAAAUAUGGACGUCCUUUGGACGUCCGACGUUGAACGUCCUUUGGACGUCCAUACUGGACGAAAUACGGACGUUUUAUGAACGCUUAUAUAUUUUAUAUUGGACACAUUAUUACGGGAUCAAAUAGCAAAAUAAUUCAAUAAAAUAUUAACUUACGCGUUAACUUUACGUUAAUGAAAUACAGUCAAACCUGUCAGUAACGGCCACUAAAAUGAAAGAACUAUUGGCCGAUAUAGAAAGGUGGCCGUUAUUACCAGUUUUUGUAGUCUAGAUAUACAGUAAAACUUGUGUUACUGGCCACCUGAUAAAAUCGGCCACCUGUACUAACGGCCGGUUUAAAUAUUCCCCAAACCAAUUAUAUCUGGACUACAAAAACUGGCAAUACCGGUCACCUUUCUAUAUCGGCCAAUAGCUUUUUCAUUUUUAGUGGCCGUUACUGACAGGUUUUACUGUAAUUGGUUUGGGGAAUUUUUAAACUGACCGUUAGUACAGGUGGCCGGUGUUUGCAGGGGGCCGGUAACACAGGUUUUACUGUAGUUUAAAUCGAAAAGAUUAAAUCUUAAUUCAAAAUUGUAUAUACAAUUAUUACAAUUAUAAACAAACUAUAUAGUUUAAUAUCCAAAACAUGUUUUUGAUUUUAUGUAAUGUAAUGAAAAUCUUAUUUGUAAAUUAUUGGUUACAAUGUUUAACAAUAGGAAAUAUUCAAGAAUAAAUAAAAUAAAAGUUUAAUCCUAACAACACAAAACAUUCCAGGAAUAUAGGUACUACCGUUCUAUUCCGUGAACAUCUAUCUGAUUAAAUUAUGGGUGGAAAGUUACCACAAGAUAUUCUAUGAACAUAGUACAAUGGGUGCGUUCGGACGACCACAGCGGCUGGACAGCUGAGCCAGCAGUAGCUGUCAGACGUCACCGCUGGAAGCCAGCCGCUGAGAGAUUUACUAAGCUUUCCCUAUCACGGCUGGAUGCAACCACUCAGCCGAUUUCUGCUGGCAGCCAGCCGCUAUGGUCGUCCGAACGCACCCAAUGUCUUCCUGGAGGGGUAAAAUUUUCCAUUACAAGAUUUUAAGAGAGGCCAUUUACUGUUCAAUUUGCGUUCAUUUUCAAAUUUGCCGCGCGAGUAUCUAUGUAGCGUCGCGUGGUCAUUGGUCAUCACAUUUCAUUUUCAUAAGAUAAAAGAUAACCGAUAACCUAAAAAUUUAGUAAAAAUUUUGAUUGGAAAAAAAUGCAUCGAUAAGGGGGUGUGGGAAAUGGAAAUUAGUGGCUUUUCUGCUGUACUGUCUGCUAGUCAAAUCACACAACACUUUUUUCUAUGCUGCUAGUUUUUGCUCUGUGCUCUGGCUGGAUCUCUUGUUUAAACAAUUUUAAUCAGCUGAAAGUGGCCUACAAAAAAAAACCAAGAAGGAAAUAUAUAGCCUUGUGGCUAUGAAAGGCAAAAGAGAGAUAUAAAAAGUGUAUUGGCUAGUUGGAAGAAAGUCCACAUUGUCCAUGCAUAAUAAGUUAUUACUUUAUCAACAAAUAUCAAGAAGAUAGCAGGGUCAGGAGCAACAACUUCAUAAGUUCAAGAAUAUCGAGGAAAUCCAGCUCCUCGAUACUACUGGGCAAACUAGAAGAUUGAAGAGGACAAAGCCUUUUGAACUAGUUUGAGUGAUAGGUGAUAGUGAAAAACGGAGCAUAGUGCUUGUGUGCUGUGCCUGUGUAUGUUAAAAUAGUGCACGAUCUUGUUAGAUUAGAUAAGAGACGCUAUGGGGUAAGCUCUUCAUUUUAAGAAACAGUAGUAAUUUAGGUUAAAUUAAAAUUGCUCAUUGGUCAGUUAUGACCAGAUUGUUUUUUAUGUUUGGCAAAAAGGACUUAAGUCAGAAUUGCACAUUGAUAAUGUUUUGAUGAUUUCUGGACCAGAAAAAAACUGUUGUAGAUGUAAACUGUACCCUAACAACACACAACAUUCCAGGAAUGUACUACCAAAGUUCUAUCAAUAUUUGAAUGUCCUGGACAUUUAGGGAACAUUCGGUGAACAUCUGAUUAAAUUAUUCCUGGAAUGUUACCAUAAGACAUUCUGUGAACAUACUACCAAUGUUCCUAUAUUUUAAGUUGCGAAAUAAUACAUACGUGUAAGAGAUACAACAUUACUUAUAACAUACCAGACAAACUAAGUGACAUUUUAGGCCUACAGUGCAAUAAUAUGUCAAAUUUAAAGAGUUUCCCAAGUUCAAUGAAUACAAUAUUAUAAACAUACAAAUGUAAUAAAAAUUAUUGUUCGCGAAUAUUCAAUUUGGAAUGCGAUUUUGUUAAUAAAAAAAAUACUUAUAACUUAUGCAAAACCCAAGCGAGGCAUUUAUAUUUAUUUCUUUUGCGUUCAUUUUCAAAUUCGCCGUGCAUAUAUGUUUGUGCAUGGCGCUUGAGAGGGCAUCACGUGACUAAAAACGACCAACCAACGACCUCGCUUCGGCCAUCUUGGCAUCUUCAUCUUGGCGACCUUGCCGUUGCCCGGCCUUGCCUUGCCGUGGAUUGUUGUUUGUAUUUUGUAUUAUUUGUGCUUUUUAAGAAUAUUUUUUUAAUUCGGAUACUUUUAUAAUAGCUUUAAUAGUAUUAUUAACAUAGUGCAUAAAAUGGUGUCCUGUUUUUAACGCAGUUGGAGUAGCAGAAACAAAUGUAGAUAAAAAAAUCUGCAGGAAUAACGUUUCAAUUAUGACAGAAGCUCAAAACAAAUGACUGUGAAUGAAAAGCCCUAUUAAAAGCUUUCCAGAAGAUCCUGCGAAGAAGACAAGAAAGUAUAGAUUAGAUUUGUUAAUAGAGGAGUAUGUUCAAAACACUUUUUAGAAAAAGAUAUUGACAGAACUUCACUUUCAUCUGUUCGUUUGAGAGACUGUGCUGUUCCAAUAGCUUAUGUCACACAGAAUCAGCUGAGAGAAGUGGUCUACAAAAAACCAGAAAGGAAACGGAAUAUGUGGCUACGAAAAGCAAAAGAAAGGUUUACAAAGCAAAUGUGACACAUUUUUUUAUAAUAUUUAGGAAUGUCAGCAAAUUACAUUAAAAAAUGUAUGUAAAGAUUUUUUGCAAUAAAAAUGUUUAUAUUUAUCAAGGAUGUAUUAUUUGGUAUGGCCAUAUAUCGUCAGUGAUGUGACAGUACCUCCUAUCUGUUUUUUUUUCAAGAGAUUUGUAAGAUAGACUAAAAACUUGUUUCGGCCACCUCCUGUUUUCAUAUAUUUUUUGACUUGUUUUGCAGUAAAUUCAACUAUCUAUUUACUACAAAAAAA
Molecule: long non-coding RNA, 3430 nt
Organism: Diabrotica virgifera virgifera (western corn rootworm)
Lineage: Eukaryota; Metazoa; Arthropoda; Insecta; Coleoptera; Chrysomelidae
Exons: 4
Source: RefSeq, a predicted model, not a curated record